RNAcentral lists this long non-coding RNA (908 nucleotides) under Homo sapiens (human). Its description in RNAcentral is "epigenetically induced MYC interacting lncRNA 1". The record is from RNAcentral. Lineage: Eukaryota; Metazoa; Chordata; Mammalia; Primates; Hominidae.
CAAACACGAAGCUCUUCCAGAAACGCCCUCACAGACACCCCGGAAGUCACGUACCCACUCUGUAGGUGCCCCGGGGCACAGGCAAGCGGACGAGCCAGUUAUCCCUCAGAGCUCCUGCUGCCUCGCCCGCUUUCUCUCGGAAACGUGAAGUGUGGCCUCAGCUGAAAGUGAGGUGGGCCUCAUUCAAUCAGUUGAAUUCUUCAAGAGAGAAAAACUGAAGUCCCUUAGAAGGAAAGAGUUCUGCCUUCAGACUGUCUUUGAACUUAAGACUGUAGCGUCGACUCCUGCCGGAAUUUCCAGCCUGCUGGCCAGCUCUGCAGAUUCACACUUGCCAGCCUCCACAAUCGCAGCUGAGGCGGAGGAACCCUAAGGGCUCAUUGAGAUCAUGGAUUUGCCCUUCUAUGCAUUGAUGGAGCACCUGCUGCCCACAGCGUCUGUAUUUGGUGCUGGGAUGCUGAGGACACUGAGAUCUUCAAACAGAGGCUGCCACUCUAAGCAAACAGAUCCCGAGCCCUGGACUCUGAAGCUUGGGCCCAGUUCUCCUUUUCUCCGGGUUUCAGAUCCCACUGUGAAGUGAGGGGGCCCUUCUGAUUCAGGACCCGGGGAAGCCAGGGGCAUGAGCAUCGGUGCCUCUUCUCUAUUUCAAGGACCCUUCUGGGUGUAAAGUUCUCUGAGAUGCCUUACAUGGAUUCCCACCACUGCAAGAUAACCAUCGUAUGUAAAGUGUUAUGACCAGCAGAGCGUAAUUGAAGUGCAUUCCAGAGGGAAAGACAGCGGCUCAGGUUCUACCUUCCAUUUACAAAAACAUGGGGAAUAGAAGAUGAACUCAAAUGACACCACAAGGAACAACCAGACAAAUCAUCUACGGCUGGAAUGUACAGGACAAGUAAUAUAAUGUUGGGAAAAAA